UAGUGGGGAAUACCGUUGGGAAACCGACGACAAUACCGCAUAAGCCCGAGAGGGGAAAGCCGAAAGGCGCUAAGAGAGGAGUCCGCGGUCGAUUAGCUAGUUGGUGGGGUAAUGGCUCACCAAGGCAACGAUCGAUAGCCGGCCUGAGAGGGCACACGGCCACACUGGCACUGAAACACGGGCCAGACUCCUACGGGAGGCAGCAGUGGGGAAUCUUGCACAAUGGGGGAAACCCUGAUGCAGCGACGCCGCGUGAGUGAUGAAGCCCUUCGGGGUGUAAAGCUCUUUCGGCAGGGACGAUAAUGACGGUACCUGCGGAAGAAGCUGCGGCUAACUACGUGCCAGCAGCCGCGGUAAUACGUAGGCAGCAAGCGUUGUUCGGAAUUACUGGGCGUAAAGAGUGUGUAGGCGGUGUCGUAAGUUUGGUGUGAAAUCUCCCGGCUUAACUGGGAGGGUGCGCCGAAGACUGCGAUGCUUGAGGUUGGGAGAGGUAAGCGGAAUUCCUGGUGUAGCGGUGAAAUGCGUAGAUAUCAGGAGGAACACCUGCGGUGUAGACGGCUUACUGGACCACACCUGACGCUGAGACACGAAAGCGUGGGUAGCAAACAGGAUUAGAUACCCUGGUAGUCCACGCCCUAAACGAUGCAUACUUGGUGUGAGCCAUUCACUUGGUUCGUGCCGGAGCUAACGCGUUAAGUAU
Molecule: ribosomal RNA, 700 nt
Filed under: uncultured Acidobacteriota bacterium
Lineage: Bacteria; Pseudomonadati; Acidobacteriota
Description: bacterial SSU rRNA
Rfam family: Bacterial small subunit ribosomal RNA
Source: RNAcentral